GACGAACGCUGGCGGCGUGCUUAACACAUGCAAGUCGAACGGAAAGGCCCUGCUUUUGUGGGGUGCUCGAGUGGCGAACGGGUGAGUAACACGUGGGUAACCUGCCCUUGACUUUGGGAUAACUUCAGGAAACUGGGGCUAAUACCGGAUAGGAGCUCCUGCUGCAUGGUGGGGGUUGGAAAGUUUCGGCGGUUGGGGAUGGACUCGCGGCUUAUCAGCUUGUUGGUGGGGUAGUGGCUUACCAAGGCUUUGACGGGUAGCCGGCCUGAGAGGGUGACCGGCCACAUUGGGACUGAGAUACGGCCCAGACUCCUACGGGAGGCAGCAGUGGGGAAUAUUGCACAAUGGGCGGAAGCCUGAUGCAGCAACGCCGCGUGCGGGAUGACGGCCUUCGGGUUGUAAACCGCUUUCGCCUGUGACGAAGCGUGAGUGACGGUAAUGGGUAAAGAAGCACCGGCUAACUACGUGCCAGCAGCCGCGGUGAUACGUAGGGUGCGAGCGUUGUCCGGAUUUAUUGGGCGUAAAGGGCUCGUAGGUGGUUGAUCGCGUCGGAAGUGUAAUCUUGGGGCUUAACCCUGAGCGUGCUUUCGAUACGGGUUGACUUGAGGAAGGUAGGGGAGAAUGGAAUUCCUGGUGGAGCGGUGGAAUGCGCAGAUAUCAGGAGGAACACCAGUGGCGAAGGCGGUUCUCUGGGCCUUUCCUGACGCUGAGGAGCGAAAGCGUGGGGAGCGAACAGGCUUAGAUACCCUGGUAGUCCACGCUGUAAACGGUGGGUACUAGGUGUGGGGUCCAUUCCACGGGUUCCGUGCCGUAGCUAACGCUUUAAGUACCCCGCCUGGGGAGUACGGCCGCAAGGCUAAAACUCAAAGGAAUUGACGGGGCCCCGCACAAGCGGCGGAGCAUGCGGAUUAAUUCGAUGCAACGCGUAGAACCUUACCUGGGUUUGACAUGGAUCGGGAGUGCUCAGAGAUGGGUGUGCCUCUUUUGGGGUCGGUUCACAGGUGGUGCAUGGCUGUCGUCAGCUCGUGUCGUGAGAUGUUGGGUUAAGUCCCGCAACGAGCGCAACCCUUGUUCACUGUUGCCAGCACGUUAUGGUGGGGACUCAGUGGAGACCGCCGGGGUCAACUCGGAGGAAGGUGGGGAUGACGUCAAGUCAUCAUGCCCCUUAUGUCCAGGGCUUCACGCAUGCUACAAUGGCUGGUACAGAGAGUGGCGAGCCUGUGAGGGUUAGCGAAUCUCGGAAAGCCGGUCUCAGUUCGGAUUGGGGUCUGCAACUCGACCUCAUGAAGUCGGAGUCGCUAGUAAUCGCAGAUCAGCAACGCUGCGGUGAAUACGUUCCCGGG
Molecule: ribosomal RNA, 1343 nt
Filed under: uncultured bacterium
Lineage: Bacteria
Description: 16S ribosomal RNA
Rfam family: Bacterial small subunit ribosomal RNA
Source: RNAcentral